Molecule: ribosomal RNA, 253 nt
Filed under: uncultured bacterium
Lineage: Bacteria
Description: partial 16S ribosomal RNA
Rfam family: Bacterial small subunit ribosomal RNA
Source: RNAcentral
UACGUAGGGUGCGAGCGUUAAUCGGAAUUACUGGGCGUAAAGCGUGCGCAGGCGGGCUUUUAAGCCAGACGUGAAAUCCCCGGGCUUAACCUGGGAAUGGCAUUUGGGACUGCAAGGCUGGAGUGUGGCAGAGGAGACUGGAAUUCCUGGUGUAGCAGUGAAAUGCGUAGAUAUCAGGAGGAAUACCGAUGGCGAAGGCAGGUCUCUGGGCUGACACUGACGCUCAUGCACGAAAGCGUGGGGAGCAAACAGG